AAUUGAAUUAAUUGCUCUGCUGACAUGAAUAAAGUUUCUAGAGGAUUGCUAAUUAGAUGCCCAAAUAUAACCAGUCAACUGCAAUGCCUGUUACUUUAGUUUUGGUCUUUUGAUUGAUUAAUAAAAUUCAAGUUUUGGAGUUUUCUCCAACUGGUUUGUUAUAGGAUGAAAAUAAAAAUUGCGAUUGCCAUUGUAGUUGGGCAUUACGGCAACCUAUGCGCGGCGGAGCGCUCGACGAGUUCUUAUCAUUUUUAUUUUAUUUUUUGAUAAAACAAAAAUAAAUGAAUAAAUAAAAUAAAAGGAACAAUGGCAUUUCAAAUCUUAGUACUGAAGUUUAUUUCACAUUACUAUUUUUUUCUAAAUAGAUUAAUUCAAUCAGCAUGUUACCAAAGUAACCACUCUAUUAAUUUAUUUGGAAUAUUAGGAAGGUCAUAUGUACAUAAUUUAUGCGGAUAUUCAUUGGCACAAAGGAAUAUUAGGAAGGUCGUGUGUACGUAAAUUAUGGAUAAAGAAUGGGUGUGUCUUAACAGGCAAUUUAUACUUUGUCAUGUAAUUUAUAUACUUUAUAUUUUAAGAUAAUAUCUUAGAACAUUGUCUUUUAAAAUUGUUAAGGCCUCACAAGAGUACAUAAAAGCUUCGAAAAUGUUUGUCAUUACUGCUCAUCAUAAUUUAGGCAGACCAGAUAAAAUUUUAUGUACUUGUAAAGGUUGUCGAAACUUAAGCCAUCAAUAUGUAAUAUCGUUCACGAGCAUCUAGUCAUAAGAGGAAUGGAUCCGACUUACACAAAUUGGUUUCAACAUGGAGAAAGAUUAAUUAGUAAUAUUGAUAUUACAAAUAAGACGAAAAUAUUCAACUUGUUUGAAGCUGCACAUACGAAUGAAGAACAUAACAAGGAAGUUUUUGAAGAGAAUUUGGAUGAUGACAUUAGUCGAUUGGUGAAGGAUGCUAAAACUCCGUUGUAUCCUGAAAAUGAAAAAUACACAAACCUAUCUUCAAUUGUGACCUUUAGAUAAGCUUAAAACUAUUAGUAGUUGGUCAGAUAAUAGCUUUACAGUACUUCUAAACACAUUACAUGAUAUGUUACCUGAAGGUAAUGUAAUUCCUACAUCGACAAUAUGCGUAAGAAAAUUUCUAAAGACAUUUGAUUUAGGCUAUGAGAAGAUUCAUGCAUGUGUUAAUAAUUGAUGUUUGUUUAGAAACGAUAAAAAAGAAUUAGAUAGCUAUCCAAAAUGUGAUUCUUCGAGAUGGAAGGUCAAUAAGCAUACACAAAAGCGUAAAAAUGGUGUACCUGCUAAAGUCUUAAGAUACUUUCCUAUAAAACCUAGAUUCCAAAGGAUGUUUAGUAAACUGAAGAUGGCUGAAUCAUUAAUAUGGCAUUCAACCAAUUAGAGUGUUGAUGGUGAAAUGUGUCAUCCAGUAGAUUCUCCAUCUUGGGCUUUAAUUGACAACAAGUGGCCAGAGUUUGCAAAUAAUCCACGCAAUCUUAGGCUUGGGCUUGCUACAGAUGGUUUCAAUCCAUUCAACAAUUUUAGCUCUACAUAUAGUUGUUGGCCAGUGAUGUUGGUCAUUUAUAAUCUACCACAAUGGUUAUGUAUGAAAAAAGAAAAUAUCAUGUUGUCAUUGUUAAUUCCAGGGCCUAAACAGCCUCGGAAUGAUAUUGAUAUAUAUUUGCAACCACUUGUAGAUGACUUGAACGAAUUGUGGAAUAUUGGGAUGAAUAUGUAUGAUGCACACACUAAUGCAGUUUUCAACUUGAGAGCAAUACUUAUGUGGACUAUUAAUGAUUUACCAGCUCUUGGAAAUUUAGCUGGAUGUAAAAUUAAAGGUAGGACAAGUUGCCCUAUAUGUUCUGAGAAUAGUCACUCACAGCGGUUAAAAUUUAGUAGAAAAUUUACAUACAUAGGUCAUAGGAGAUUUUGUCACCAUAUCAUCCGUUAAGGAAAAAUAAAUCUUGGUUUGAUGGACAUGAAGAAAAGGAAACCAAACCUAAAAUUAUGUCUGGUAGCAACAUUCUGGUUACUCUUAAAGAUUAUGUCAACAAUUUUGGGAAAGCUCGGAAACGAAAAAGAAAGACAGAUAAUGGGAGCAUGCUAACAUGGAAAAAGAGAUCAAUCUUUUUAACUUACCAUAUUGGGAGGUAAGAUUUUCGCAUUCUCCAACUCUUAUUCAACUUCUUUCAAUUAUUUGAAUAUACUUUUUUUAUGAAACUAACAAAAUCUUUUUGCUUUGUUACAUUAUUAGGUGCUACCAUGACGUCAUAAAUUUGGAUGUAAUGCACAUUAAGAAAAAUGUAUGUGAAAGCAUUAUUGGUAAAUUUUAGACAUAAAUGAUAAACAAAAGAUGGAUUAAAUGCUCGUAAGGAUUUACAAGACAUGGAAAUUAGGAAGGAGUUACAUCUAGAGGAACGAGGUAAUAGAAUAUACCUUCCUCCUGUUCCACAUACGUUGUCAAGGUUAGAGAAACAAACAUUUUGUAAGAGGUUGUUUAACUUGAAAUUACCUAAUGGGUACAGUUCAAAUGUAGCCACUUGUAUAUCAGUAGAUGAAUGCAAAAUUAUUGGCCUCAAGUCACAUGAUUGUCAUGUCCUCAUGCAACAACUUUUGGCUGUAUCAUUAAGAGGAUUACUUACAAAAGGACCAAGACAUGCAAUUUUAGACUAUGAACAUUCUUCAAUAGAUUAUGCCAACAUAUUGUUGAUAGAGAGAAAAUAGCAAUAUUAGAAGACGAAGUACUUGAAACCUUAUGCAGUCUUGAAAGAUUAUUUCCUCUUGCAUUUUUGAUAUCAUGAUACAUUUGGUGGUACAUUUGGGAAGAGAAGUACGAUUAUGUGGUCCAGUUCACUAUCGCUGGAUGUAUCCUUUUGAGAGAUAUAUGAAGAUAUUCAAAGGACAUGUGAGAAAUCGCGCACGGCCUAGAGGUUGCAUAACUAAAUGUUAUCUUGCAGAUGAGUGCAUGAAAUUUUGUACCGAGUUUAUGAAACAAGUAAGAGAAAUUGAUCAUCGAGAGGGGCGCAACGAAGAUUAUGUUAGCAAUGAAAUUACUAAGGGAUGUCCCAUUUCUGCUCCAAAUUUUAUUACACUAAGUAAUGAAAUGUUAGAGAUAGCACAUCGUUAUGUAUUAUUCAAUACAUCUUAUGUGGAACCUUAUUUGGAAUAAGUCAUCCACUUUUUAUAU
This is a long non-coding RNA of Olea europaea var. sylvestris, 3174 nucleotides long. RefSeq lists it as uncharacterized. The transcript is spliced from 2 exons. The record is from RefSeq and is a predicted model, not a curated record. NCBI's taxonomy places the organism in Eukaryota, Viridiplantae, Streptophyta, Magnoliopsida, Lamiales, Oleaceae.